Molecule: ribosomal RNA, 254 nt
Filed under: uncultured bacterium
Lineage: Bacteria
Description: partial 16S ribosomal RNA
Rfam family: Bacterial small subunit ribosomal RNA
Source: RNAcentral
UACGGGGGGAGCAAGCGUUGUUCGGAUUUACUGGGCGUAAAGGGCGCGUAGGCGGCCACCGCAAGUCAGUUGUGAAAUCUCUGGGCUUAACCCAGAACGGUCAGCUGAUACUGCGGGGCUAGAGUGCAGAAGGGGCAACUGGAAUUCUCGGUGUAGCGGUGAAAUGCGUAGAUAUCGGGAGGAACACCGGUGGCGAAGGCGGCGACCUGGGUAGAUACUGACGCUGAGGUGCGAAAGCGUGGGGAGCAAACAGG